Molecule: ribosomal RNA, 238 nt
Filed under: uncultured bacterium
Lineage: Bacteria
Description: partial 16S ribosomal RNA
Rfam family: Bacterial small subunit ribosomal RNA
Source: RNAcentral
CGUGAGCAAUCUGCCUUUGGAUGGGGGAUAACAGCCGGAAACGACUGCUAAUACCGCAUAAUGCAGCAGGACCGCAUGAUUUUGCUGCCAAAGAUUUAUCGUCCAAAGAUGAGCUCGCGUCUGAUUAGCCAGUUGGCGGGGUAACGGCCCACCAAAGCGACGAUCAGUAGCCGGACUGAGAGGUUGAACGGCCACAUUGGGACUGAGACACGGCCCAGAUUCCUACGGGAGGCAGCAG